RNAcentral lists this ribosomal RNA (253 nucleotides) under uncultured bacterium. RNAcentral describes it as "partial 16S ribosomal RNA". It matches the Rfam family "Bacterial small subunit ribosomal RNA", at positions 524 to 776 of the family's 1533-position model. The record is from RNAcentral.
UACAGAGGGUGCAAGCGUUAAUCGGAAUUACUGGGCGUAAAGCGUGCGCAGGCGGCUUUGCAAGACAGAUGUGAAAUCCCCGGGCUCAACCUGGGAACUGCUUUCAAAACUGCCGAGCUAGAGUACGGUAGAGGGGGAUGGAAUUCCGCGUGUAGCAGUGAAAUGCGUAGAUAUGCGGAGGAACACCGAUGGCGAAGGCAGCUCCCUGGACCUGUACUGACGCUCAUGCACGAAAGCGUGGGGAGCAAACAGG